Molecule: ribosomal RNA, 856 nt
Filed under: Basidioradulum radula
Lineage: Eukaryota; Fungi; Basidiomycota; Agaricomycetes; Hymenochaetales; Hymenochaetaceae
Description: partial large subunit ribosomal RNA
Rfam family: Eukaryotic large subunit ribosomal RNA
Source: RNAcentral
UCCCCUAGUAACUGCGAGUGAAGCGGGAUGAGCUCAAAUUUAAAAUCUGGCGGUUUUGCCGUCCGAGUUGUAAUCUGGAGAAGCGUUUUCCGCGUCGGACCGUGUACAAGUCUCUUGGAACAGAGCUUCAUAGAGGGUGAGAAUCCCGUCCAUGACACGGACCGCCGAUGCUUUGUGAUACGCUCUCGAAGAGUCGAGUUGUUUGGGAAUGCAGCUCAAAAUGGGUGGUAAAUUCCAUCUAAAGCUAAAUAUUGGCGAGAGACCGAUAGCGAACAAGUACCGUGAGGGAAAGAUGAAAAGCACUUUGGAAAGAGAGUAAAACAGUACGUGAAAUUGUUGAAAGGGAAACGCUUGAAGUCAGUCGCGUUUGCCGGGACUCAGCCUUGCUUCUGCUUGGUGUACUUCCCGGUAGACGGGUCAACAUCGAUUUUGGCCGACGGAUAAAGGGGUUGGGAAUGUGGCACUCUUCGGAGUGUGUUAUAGCCCUUCUUCCGCAUACGCCGGCCGGGAUCGAGGACCGCAGCGCGCCUUAAUGGCCGGGGGUUCGCCCCACGUUACGCGCUUAGGAUGUUGGCAUAAUGGCUUUAAGCGACCCGUCUUGAAACACGGACCAAGGAGUCUAACAUGCUCGCGAGUGUUAGGGUGGAAAACCCUUGCGCGUAAUGAAAGUGAAAGUUGGGACUCUCGCGAGGGAGGCACCGACGCCCGGCCCUGAAGUUCUCUGACGGUGCUGCGGUAGAGCGCGUAUGUUGGGACCCGAAAGAUGGUGAACUAUGCCUGAAUAGGGCGAAGCCAGAGGAAACUCUGGUGGAGGCUCGUAGCGAUUCUGACGUGCAAAUCGAUCGUCAAAUUUGGG